This 253-nucleotide ribosomal RNA is filed under the name uncultured bacterium. RNAcentral's name for it is "partial 16S ribosomal RNA". It matches the Rfam family "Bacterial small subunit ribosomal RNA", at positions 524 to 776 of the family's 1533-position model. The record is from RNAcentral.
UACGAAGGGUGCAAGCGUUACUCGGAAUUACUGGGCGUAAAGCGUGCGUAGGUGGUUUGUUAAGUCCGAUGUGAAAGCCCUGGGCUCAACCUGGGAAUGGCAUUGGAUACUGGCAGGCUAGAGUGCGGUAGAGGGUAGUGGAAUUCCCGGUGUAGCAGUGAAAUGCGUAGAUAUCGGGAGGAACAUCCGUGGCGAAGGCGACUACCUGGACCAGCACUGACACUGAGGCACGAAAGCGUGGGGAGCAAACAGG